Molecule: ribosomal RNA, 235 nt
Filed under: uncultured Anaerolineaceae bacterium
Lineage: Bacteria; Bacillati; Chloroflexota; Anaerolineae; Anaerolineales; Anaerolineaceae
Description: partial 16S ribosomal RNA
Rfam family: Bacterial small subunit ribosomal RNA
Source: RNAcentral
ACUGCUGGAUUAAGCCGGAGGAAGUGGGACGACGUCAAGUCAGCAUGACCUUUAUAUCCCAGGGCUACGACACACGCUACAAUGGUCAGUACAAUGGGUUGCCAAGCCGCGAGGCGGAGCCAAUCCUAAAAAGCUGGCCUCAGUUCAGAUUGCAGUCUGAAACUCGACUGCAUGAAGUCGGAGUUGCUAGUAAACGCAGGUCAGCUAUACUGCGUUGAAUACGUUCCCGGGGCUU